UAUAGAUACAAUAAGUUGCCAAAUCUGAAUCUGUGAGUCAUUUUUAAACCGGUUUGCUUAAACCACUUCACAUUGGGUGGUUAAUUUGCUUUCAUGUGGUGCAUUAAAACCAUUUAAUGUACAGCUAUCAUUGGAUUAUCCCUUAUGAAAUCAAUGCAAAUGUGGUACACCUCUUCAACUGCCAAAAACAGUACUCUUCAACACAAUUAUAAAGUGUUUAUUUUAUUUAAUAGCAUAAAAUGCGAUAACUCUCGGGUCACUAAAAUGCACACUCAUGAGUAAUAAACAGGGCAUUAGUGGAUUGACUGAUAUCAAAUCAAUACCUAAUAAAGGAAGGAAUUAUUCAGGACAGAAAAGUAGUAGGACUGAACCUUUCCAAUGGUUGCUCAUUAGUUUAAGUUGCAGAUUUAAUGUGGCCGAGGGGCUCUUCAGCAUCUUAAGUGAAAUGAUUAAAACAUUGAUUUGUAGUCAGCACACCUACACCUCAGAACAUAACACUACGUCACGGUUAAAACUCUCCUGUGAGCUCCAGCUUCUUGUGUCAGUCUACUUUUUGACUGUUUUAUCAUUACAGGUGACUAGGGAUAUUGUGCAUUGAUUGGAGCAGCUUUCACAUAAUUGUCUUUGCUUCUGGUUAUUGUUUUAAUUUAGCCGCAAAUCCUUGUAUUGACAUCAGAGUUGUAGAAAUUGAACGCAAGGGUUGUCAGAUGGAAAAGGCUGGAGAAUUACUCCCAAGGGUGUUGGACAAAACACCCAUUCCAAUGCUCCCAUGAUGCCUUUGCCCAGUCCUUCAACGCCGCUUCACUCGUUCAGAGCUUGAAUGUUUUUGCGGGUCAAAAAAACCCGACACUCUUCAUCUUGAAGGCGCCGGCUGAAGGUCUCAGAGGUCUUGUCUGAUGUCUUCCUCGCUUGUUGGCCAUAAGCAGAUGUGUAAUACAAGGCAAGCAGAAGGUAUCGAAAGGACUGAUGAAGAAAAAUGGAGGCAAUCAUUCGCUCGUCCUCAGCCUGUCACAACGAAAUAUAACUCAAUUAUUUCUUGUCAACAGAUGAGAAAUGUUGAACGUGGCAUCAGAGUGGAACGGAGCCCGACUUUCACACCGAAUGCGUUAAAAAAUAUAAGAAUGCGUGUUGUGCUGGUGUGUGUGUGGCAGGCUGAAGUGUGUGGACAGAUCUGUCACAAGCUGUUUCUGGAGAGCGUGGCACAGCGGGACGUCCCCGUGUGACAAAAUGUCAUUUAAUUCAACGGUUGUUUUUUUGGCAUCUUUCUCAGGAUGGUUGUGUUUCGUUAUUGUGUAACGUUAUAUGAUUUCUGAGUGAAAUCUACAUUAGCGCCUGUGUUUCCCACACGUUAAGCACUUUUAGUUAAUUAGAGUUAUUGAGUAACUGUGUAUGUAAAUACACUGUAACGUGAAGACUGUAAUAUCCUUCACCUCAUACUAAGCUUGAACAGGGCUUGAUUUCCUUAAAGGAACAGCUCGCCUUGAAUAUAAACUCCAA
Molecule: long non-coding RNA, 1497 nt
Organism: Puntigrus tetrazona (Sumatra barb)
Lineage: Eukaryota; Metazoa; Chordata; Actinopteri; Cypriniformes; Cyprinidae
Exons: 4
Source: RefSeq, a predicted model, not a curated record